RNAcentral lists this ribosomal RNA (495 nucleotides) under uncultured bacterium. Its description in RNAcentral is "partial 16S ribosomal RNA". It matches the Rfam family "Bacterial small subunit ribosomal RNA", at positions 28 to 507 of the family's 1533-position model. The record is from RNAcentral.
GACGAACGCUGGCGGCGUGCCUAAUACAUGCAAGUAGAACGCUGAAGGAGGAGCUUGCUUCUCUGGAUGAGUUGCGAACGGGUGAGUAACGCGUAGGUAACCUGCCUGGUAGCGGGGGAUAACUAUUGGAAACGAUAGCUAAUACCGCAUAAUAGCAGUUGCUGCAUGAUAACUGUUUGAAAGGUGCAAUUGCACCACUACCAGAUGGACCUGCGUUGUAUUAGCUAGUUGGUGGGGUAACGGCUCACCAAGGCGACGAUACAUAGCCGACCUGAGAGGGUGAUCGGCCACACUGGGACUGAGACACGGCCCAGACUCCUACGGGAGGCAGCAGUAGGGAAUCUUCGGCAAUAGACGGAAGUCUGACCGAGCAACGCCGCGUGAGUGAAGAAGGGUUUCGGAUCGUAAAGCUCUGUUGUAAGAGAAGAGCGAGUGUGAGAGUGGAAAGUUCACACUGUGACGGUAGCUUACCAGAAAGGGACGGCUAACUACGUG